RNAcentral lists this ribosomal RNA (484 nucleotides) under uncultured bacterium. RNAcentral describes it as "partial 16S ribosomal RNA". It matches the Rfam family "Bacterial small subunit ribosomal RNA", at positions 30 to 507 of the family's 1533-position model. The record is from RNAcentral.
AUUGAACGCUGGCGGCAGGCCUAACACAUGCAAGUCGAGCGGAUGAAGGGAGCUUGCUCCUGGAUUCAGCGGCGGACGGGUGAGUAAUGCCUAGGAAUCUGCCUGGUAGUGGGGGAUAACGUCCGGAAACGGGCGCUAAUACCGCAUACGUCCUGAGGGAGAAAGUGGGGGAUCUUCGGACCGCACGCUAUCAGAUGAGCGUAGGUCGGAUUAGCUAGUUGGUGGGGUAAAGGGCUACCAAGGCGACGAUCCGUAACUGGUCUGAGAGGAUGAUCAGUCACCCUGGAACUGAGACACGGUCCAGACUCCUACGGGAGGCAGCAGUCGGGAAUAUUGGACAAUGGGCGAAAGCCUGAUCCAGCCAUGCCGCGUGUGUGAAGAAGGUCUUCGGAUUGUAAAGCACUUUAAGUUGGGAGGAAGGGCAGUAAGUUAAUACCUUGCUGUUUUGACGUUACCAACAGAAUAAGCACCGGCUAACUUCGUG